AGGACGAACGCUGGCGGCGUGCUUAACACAUGCAAGUCGAGCGGUAAGGCCUUUCGGGGUACACGAGCGGCGAACGGGUGAGUAACGACGUGGGUGAUCUGCCCUGCACUUCGGGAUAAGCCUGGGAAACUGGGUCUAAUACCGGAUAUGACCUCCUAUCGCAUGGUGGGUGGUGGAAAGAUUUAUCGGUGCAGGAUGGGCCCGCGGCCUAUCAGCUUGUUGGUGGGGUAAUGGCCUACCAAGGCGACGACGGGUAGCCGACCUGAGAGGGUGACCGGCCACGACUGGGACUGAGACACGGCCCAGACUCCUACGGGAGGCAGCAGUGGGGAAUAUUGCACAAUGGGCGAAAGCCUGAUGCAGCGACGCCGCGUGAGGAUGGACGGCUUCGGGUGUAACCUCUUUCAGCAGGACGAAGCGCGAAGUGACGGUACUGCAGAAGAAGCGAACGGCUAACGUACGUGACCGAGACC
This 473-nucleotide ribosomal RNA is filed under the name uncultured soil bacterium. RNAcentral's name for it is "bacterial SSU rRNA". It matches the Rfam family "Bacterial small subunit ribosomal RNA", at positions 26 to 516 of the family's 1533-position model. The record is from RNAcentral.